AACGAACGCUGGCGGCAUGCCUAACACAUGCAAGUCGAACGAGACCUUCGGGUCUAGUGGCGCACGGGUGCGUAACGCGUGGGAACCUGCCCUUAGGUUCGGAAUAACUCCCCGAAAGGGGUGCUAAUACCGGAUAAUGUCUUCGGACCAAAGAUUUAUCGCCUUUGGAUGUGCCCGCGUUGGAUUAGCUAGUUGGUAGGGUAAAAGCCUACCAAGGCGACGAUCCAUAGCUGGUUUGAGAGGAUGAUCAGCCACACUGGGACUGAGACACGGCCCAGACUCCUACGGGAAGCAGCAGUUGGGAAUAUUGGACAAUGGGCGAAAGCCUGAUCCAGCAAUGCCGCGUGAGUGAUGAAGGCAUUAGGGUUGUAAAGCUCUUUUACCCGGGAUGAUAAUGACAGUACCGGGAGAAUAAGCUCCGGCUAACUCCGUG
This 433-nucleotide ribosomal RNA is filed under the name uncultured bacterium. Its description in RNAcentral is "partial 16S ribosomal RNA". It matches the Rfam family "Bacterial small subunit ribosomal RNA", at positions 29 to 507 of the family's 1533-position model. The record is from RNAcentral.